UAACUGAAGAGUUUGAUCAUGGCUCAGAUUGAACGCUGGCGGCAGGCUUAACACAUGCAAGUCGAGCGGGGGAAGGUAGCUUGCUACUGGACCUAGCGGCGGACGGGUGAGUAAUGCUU
This 119-nucleotide ribosomal RNA is filed under the name Acinetobacter baumannii. Its description in RNAcentral is "partial 16S ribosomal RNA". It matches the Rfam family "Bacterial small subunit ribosomal RNA", at positions 1 to 118 of the family's 1533-position model. Lineage: Bacteria; Pseudomonadati; Pseudomonadota; Gammaproteobacteria; Moraxellales; Moraxellaceae. The record is from RNAcentral.